UCCCUAGUAGCUCACAGGGUAGAGAAUCUGCCUGAAAUGCAGGAGACCUGAGUUCGAUCCCUGGGUUGGGAA
This is a transfer RNA of Ovis aries (sheep), 72 nucleotides long. It matches the Rfam family "tRNA". From Rfam's summary of the family: Transfer RNA (tRNA) molecules are approximately 80 nucleotides in length. Their secondary structure includes four short double-helical elements and three loops (D, anti-codon, and T loops). Further hydrogen bonds mediate the characteristic L-shaped molecular structure. tRNAs have two regions of fundamental functional importance: the anti-codon, which is responsible for specific mRNA codon recognition, and the 3' end, to which the tRNAs corresponding amino acid is attached (by aminoacyl-tRNA synthetases). tRNAs cope with the degeneracy of the genetic code in two manners: having more than one tRNA (with a specific anti-codon) for a particular amino acid; and 'wobble' base-pairing, i.e. permitting non-standard base-pairing at the 3rd anti-codon position. The record is from Rfam. Lineage: Eukaryota; Metazoa; Chordata; Mammalia; Artiodactyla; Bovidae.